RNAcentral lists this long non-coding RNA (1005 nucleotides) under Nicotiana benthamiana. RNAcentral describes it as "long non-coding RNA (NBEN_LNC014842)". The record is from RNAcentral. Lineage: Eukaryota; Viridiplantae; Streptophyta; Magnoliopsida; Solanales; Solanaceae.
UUCACCAAUCUAUACUCACACUUUUUGAGUAUCUUCAUAGAAAUUCAAGAUCUGUAGUCACCGACAAGUAUUACUUGCUAUAUAUAUUCAAACUCAUGCACAAAUCAAACCAUAUCAACUCAAUCAACAAAACCAUGUGUAUGAAAUUAAAAGAGAUAGGAGAGAAUUGAACAUAGUGUUGCCAAUUAAUGACAGUUUCCAACUUUAUAACUUUUGGAUGCAAAAAUGGUUACAACAAGCGACACAACUGACGCUUGAACUAGAUGCCAGACAGACCUCAAACUAGAAACAACGAUUCUGCAAAAUGAGACUCCGAGCCUCGAUGGCACCGAAAAAUUGAAACGAGCAUGGAUUCAGACCAAACGAGCAUAAACAGUAAACUCCAACCAAAAAAGAGACUCCAACUCUAUUUCUGUUGCAAUUUCCUUCUUCAAAUGAUACGGAACAAAAGAAACUGAAACGUCUUGGAUAGUUUCUCACUAUAAUAGCCAAGUCAGUCCACCCCACUCCCCUUCUGUUCGUUUUGCACAUCUGUGUGUGUAUGUUUGUGAUGGUGACGAAGGUUUUGGAGUAGGGAGAGGGCGGUGAUGGAGUUUAGAGAUAGAGGCGUGGUCGUUUCAGGGGGUCACUGGUCUGAGGGGUGGUCUGUCCGGUGAUGGUAGGCUGAUGGCUUGAGAUGUUGUGUUUUGGUUUUGUUCCAAAGAAGAAGAGGAAGCAUAGGGGUAUUCAUGGAGUUCUGCGGCUUGUUUAUUCUUAGGAAAAAGAAGGAGAGGACUCCUAGAGUUUCUAGGUUAGGUCCUGUGUAGAAAAUGACAUUAGGUCUCCUCUCAAAAUAAGAAAACGACUGUUUGGUUGAAGGAUCCUAGGUUUUUCUCGCUUUUAUUUUCAUGAAGAUGAUGAAACCCAAGGUUUUUAGACUCUUAAGUAGAUGAACGAGAAUCUGAUGGGGAUCGUCCCUUCUCUUCAAAACUGCACUGCCUUCUUUUGUGUAGGUCUAGGCUUUUG